CUACGGGAGGCAGCAGUGGGGAAUUUUGCGCAAUGGGCGAAAGCCUGACGCAGCAACGCCGCGUGGAGGAUGAAGGUUUUCGGAUCGUAAACUCCUGUCCCCAGGGACGAAAAAAAUGACGGUACCUGGGGAGGAAGCCCCGGCUAACUCCGUGCCAGCAGCCGCGGUAAUACGGGGGGGGCAAGCGUUGUUCGGAAUUACUGGGCGUAAAGGGCGCGUAGGCGGCCUGGGAAGUUCUGGGUGAAAGCCCCCGGCUCAACCGGGGAAGUGCCUGGAAAACCACUGGGCUGGAGUGCUGGAGAGGGAAGCGGAAUUCCUGGUGUAGCGGUGAAAUGCGUAGAGAUCAGGAGGAACAUCGGCGGCGAAGGCGGCUUCCUGGACAGACACUGACGCUGAGGCGCGAAAGCCAGGGGAGCAAACAGGAUUAGAUACCCCGGUAGUCC
RNAcentral lists this ribosomal RNA (443 nucleotides) under uncultured bacterium. RNAcentral describes it as "bacterial SSU rRNA". It matches the Rfam family "Bacterial small subunit ribosomal RNA", at positions 339 to 796 of the family's 1533-position model. The record is from RNAcentral.